Molecule: non-coding RNA, 360 nt
Organism: Peromyscus maniculatus bairdii (prairie deer mouse)
Lineage: Eukaryota; Metazoa; Chordata; Mammalia; Rodentia; Cricetidae
Source: RefSeq, a predicted model, not a curated record
CCAGGAUGAAGGUUCAGGCUAGCAGGACCACGGAGCGAUGGAUCUGCUUCUGGUUUCUCUCCUUGGCUAGCGGAGGACCACCUCCUCCCCAGGUUGAAUGAUGGCCGUCUCCAAGUUCAUAUGCUGAAAUCGCUCAUACCUCAGACGAUGACGUUAUUUGGAGCCAGAACAUUCCCUGAGGGCACCAUCAUAUCCAGCACAGCAUAGCAGUCUUGAAAAUGUAAUUCUACAUCGGUUACCCCAAACUCCACCAGCUAUGGAAUUUUCUGGUCCACAUCAAUCAAAGGUGAAGAAAGCUGCUCCUGUAAAUUAGUGGGUGACACCAGCCUCUGAAAGCCUGUGGAUGCGGCCUGAAUAAUA